This 513-nucleotide ribosomal RNA is filed under the name uncultured bacterium. Its description in RNAcentral is "bacterial SSU rRNA". It matches the Rfam family "Bacterial small subunit ribosomal RNA", at positions 14 to 518 of the family's 1533-position model. The record is from RNAcentral.
CGAUUCUGGCUCAGGAUGAACGCUAGCGAUAGGCCUAACACAUGCAAGUCGAGGGGCAGCACAUGAGUAGCAAUACGAUGGUGGCGACCGGCGCACGGGUGAGUAACACGUAUGCAACCUACCUUUAACGGGGGAAUAACCCGUUGAAAAACGGACUAAUACUCCGUAACACAGGGGUCCCGCAUGGGAAUAUUUGUUAAAGAUUAAUCGGUUGAAGAUGGGCAUGCGUUCCAUUAGCUUGUUGGUGAGGUAACGGCUCACCAAGGCCACGAUGGAUAGGGGAACUGAGAGGUUUAUCCCCCACACUGGAACUGAGACACGGUCCAGACUCCUACGGGAGGCAGCAGUGAGGAAUAUUGGUCAAUGGAGGCAACUCUGAACCAGCCAAGUCGCGUGAAGGAUGAAGGUCUUAUGGAUUGUAAACUUCUUUUGCAAGGGAAUAAAGUGGGGGACGUGUCCUCCUUUGCAUGUACCUUGCGAAUAAGGAUCGGCUAACUCCGUGCCAGCCGCCGC